RNAcentral lists this ribosomal RNA (743 nucleotides) under Sulfitobacter sp. R3-Ret-T52-17. RNAcentral's name for it is "bacterial SSU rRNA". It matches the Rfam family "Bacterial small subunit ribosomal RNA", at positions 45 to 831 of the family's 1533-position model. Lineage: Bacteria; Pseudomonadati; Pseudomonadota; Alphaproteobacteria; Rhodobacterales; Roseobacteraceae. The record is from RNAcentral.
GGCCUAACACAUGCAAGUCGAGCGCAGUCCUUCGGGACCGAGCGGCGGACGGGUUAGUAACGCGUGGGAACAUACCCUUUUCUACGGAAUAGCCUCGGGAAACUGAGAGUAAUACCGUAUAAGCCCUUCGGGGGAAAGAUUUAUCGGGAAAGGAUUGGCCCGCGUUAGAUUAGAUAGUUGGUGGGGUAAUGGCCUACCAAGUCUACGAUCUAUAGCUGGUUUUAGAGGAUGAUCAGCAACACUGGGACUGAGACACGGCCCAGACUCCUACGGGAGGCAGCAGUGGGGAAUCUUAGACAAUGGGCGCAAGCCUGAUCUAGCCAUGCCGCGUGUGUGAUGAAGGUCUUAGGAUCGUAAAGCACUUUCGCCAGGGAUGAUAAUGACAGUACCUGGUAAAGAAACCCCGGCUAACUCCGUGCCAGCAGCCGCGGUAAUACGGAGGGGGUUAGCGUUGUUCGGAAUUACUGGGCGUAAAGCGUACGUAGGCGGAUCAGAAAGUUAGGGGUGAAAUCCCGAGGCUCAACCUCGGAACUGCCUCUAAAACUCCUGGUCUUGAGUUCGAGAGAGGUGAGUGGAAUUCCAAGUGUAGAGGUGAAAUUCGUAGAUAUUUGGAGGAACACCAGUGGCGAAAGCGGCUCACUGCUCGAUACUGACGCUGAGGUACCGAAAGUGUGGGGAGCAAACAGGAAUAGAUACCCUGGUAGUCCACACCGUAAACCGAUGAAUGCCAGUCGUCGGGCAAG